This 253-nucleotide ribosomal RNA is filed under the name uncultured bacterium. Its description in RNAcentral is "partial 16S ribosomal RNA". It matches the Rfam family "Bacterial small subunit ribosomal RNA", at positions 524 to 776 of the family's 1533-position model. The record is from RNAcentral.
UACGUAGGGUGCGAGCGUUGUCCGGAAUUAUUGGGCGUAAAGAGCUCGUAGGCGGUCUGUCGCGUCGGCUGUGAAAUCCCGAGGCUCAACCUCGGGUCUGCAGUCGAUACGGGCAAACUAGAGUAUUGCAGGGGAGACUGGAAUUCCUGGUGUAGCGGUGAAAUGCGCAGAUAUCAGGAGGAACACCGGUGGCGAAGGCGGGUCUCUGGGCAAUAACUGACGCUGAGGAGCGAAAGCGUGGGGAGCGAACAGG